GAUGAACGCUGGCGGCGUGCCUAAUACAUGCAAGUCGAGCGAACAGACGAGGAGCUUGCUCCUCUGACGUUAGCGGCGGACGGGUGAGUAACACGUGGAUAACCUACCUAUAAGACUGGGAUAACUUCGGGAAACCGGAGCUAAUACCGGAUAAUAUAUUGAACCGCAUGGUUCAAUAGUGAAAGACGGUUUUGCUGUCACUUAUAGAUGGAUCCGCGCCGCAUUAGCUAGUUGGUAAGGUAACGGCUUACCAAGGCAACGAUGCGUAGCCGACCUGAGAGGGUGAACGGACACACAGGAAAUGAGAAACGGUCCAGACUCCUACGGGAGGCAGCAGUAGGGAAUCUUCCGCAAUGGGCGAAAGCCUGACGGAGCAACGCCGCGUGAGUGAUGAAGGUCUUCGGAUCGUAAAACUCUGUUAUUAGGGAAGAACAAAUGUGUAAGUAACUAUGCACGUCUUGACGGUACCUAAUCAGAAAGCCACGGCUAACUACGUG
RNAcentral lists this ribosomal RNA (497 nucleotides) under uncultured bacterium. RNAcentral's name for it is "partial 16S ribosomal RNA". It matches the Rfam family "Bacterial small subunit ribosomal RNA", at positions 28 to 507 of the family's 1533-position model. The record is from RNAcentral.